RNAcentral lists this transfer RNA (72 nucleotides) under Sus scrofa (pig). It matches the Rfam family "tRNA". Rfam says of the family: Transfer RNA (tRNA) molecules are approximately 80 nucleotides in length. Their secondary structure includes four short double-helical elements and three loops (D, anti-codon, and T loops). The record is from Rfam by way of RNAcentral. Lineage: Eukaryota; Metazoa; Chordata; Mammalia; Artiodactyla; Suidae.
UCCCUGGUGGUCUAGUGGUUAAGACUCAGUGCUUUCACUGCUGUGGCCUGGGUUCAUUCCCUGGUAUGGGAA